CCUACGGGAGACUGCAGUAGGGAAUAUUCGGCAAUGGGCGAAACCCUGACCGAGCAACGCCGCGUGAAGGAAGAAGUAUUUCGGGUUGUAAACUUCUUUUGACGGGGAAGAGCAGAAGACGGUACCGGACGAAUAAGCCACGGCUAACUACGUGCCAGCAGCCGCGGUGAGACGUAGGGGGCAAGCGUGGCCCGGAUGUACUGGGUGUAAAGGGCGUGUAGCCGGGCUGGCAAGUUAGUUGUGAAAACAGGGGGGUCAAACCCCGUAGUGCAUAUGAAACUGUUGGUCUUGAGUAGCGCAGAGGCAAGUGGAACUACAAGUGUAGCGGUGAAAUGCGUAGAUAUUAGGAGGAACACCAGUGGCGAAGGCGGCCUGCUGGACGAGAACUGACGGUGAGGCGCGAAAGCGUGGGGAGCAAACAGGAUUAGAUACCCAAGUAGUC
RNAcentral lists this ribosomal RNA (442 nucleotides) under uncultured bacterium. Its description in RNAcentral is "partial 16S ribosomal RNA". It matches the Rfam family "Bacterial small subunit ribosomal RNA", at positions 338 to 795 of the family's 1533-position model. The record is from RNAcentral.